AUUGAACGCUGGCGGCAGGCCUAACACAUGCAAGUCGAGCGGUAGCACAGGGAGCUUGCUCCCGGGUGACGAGCGGCGGACGGGUGAGUAAUGUCUGGGGAUCUGCCCGAUAGAGGGGGAUAACCACUGAAAACGGUGGCUAAUACCGCAUAACGUCGCAAGACCAAAGAGGGGGACCUUCGGGCCUCUCACUAUCGGAUGAACCCAGAUGGGAUUAGCUAGUAGGCGGGGUAAUGGCCCACCUAGGCGACGAUCCCUAGCUGGUCUGAGAGGAUGACCAGCCACACUGGACCUGAGACAGGGUCCAGACUCCUACGGGAGGCAGCAGUGGGGAAUAUUGCACAAUGGGCGCAAGCAUGAUGCAGCCAUGCCGCGUGUAUGAAGAAGGCCUUCGGGUUGUAAAGUACUUUCAGCGGGGAGGAAGGCGGUGCGGUUAAUAACCGCGUCGAUUGACGUUACCCGCAGAAGAAGCACCGGCUAACUCCGUGCCAGCCGCCGCAGUAA
RNAcentral lists this ribosomal RNA (504 nucleotides) under uncultured bacterium. RNAcentral's name for it is "partial 16S ribosomal RNA". It matches the Rfam family "Bacterial small subunit ribosomal RNA", at positions 29 to 523 of the family's 1533-position model. The record is from RNAcentral.